AUUGAACGCUGGCGGCAGGCCUAACACAUGCAAGUCGAACGGUAGCACAGAGAGCUUGCUCUCGGGUGACGAGUGGCGGACGGGUGAGUAACGUCUGGGAAACUGCCCGAUGGAGGGGGAUAACUACUGGAAACGGUAGCUAAUACCGCAUAACGUCGCAAGACCAAAGUGGGGGACCUUCGGGCCUCACACCAUCGGAUGUGCCCAGAUGGGAUUAGCUAGUAGGUGGGGUAAUGGCUCACCUAGGCGACGAUCCCUAGCUGGUCUGAGAGGAUGACCAGCCACACUGGAACUGAGACACGGUCCAGACUCCUACGGGAGGCAGCAGUGGGGAAUAUUGCACAAUGGGCGCAAGCCUGAUCCAGCCAUGCCGCGUGUGUGAAGAAGGCCUUAUGGUUGUAAAGCACUUUAAGCGAGGAGGAGGCUCUUUUGGUUAAUACCCAAGAUGAGUGGACGUUACUCGCAGAAUAAGCACCGGCUAACUCUGUACCAGCCGCCGCCGUAA
Molecule: ribosomal RNA, 505 nt
Filed under: uncultured bacterium
Lineage: Bacteria
Description: partial 16S ribosomal RNA
Rfam family: Bacterial small subunit ribosomal RNA
Source: RNAcentral